RNAcentral lists this ribosomal RNA (478 nucleotides) under uncultured bacterium. RNAcentral describes it as "partial 16S ribosomal RNA". It matches the Rfam family "Bacterial small subunit ribosomal RNA", at positions 28 to 523 of the family's 1533-position model. The record is from RNAcentral.
GACGAACGCUGGCGGCGUGCUUAACACAUGCAAGUCGAACGGUAAGGCCCUUCGGGGUACACGAGUGGCGAACGGGUGAGUAACACGGGGGUGAUCUGCCCUGUACUUCGGGAUAAGCCUGGGAAACUCGGUCUAAUACCGGAUAGGACUCCGGACUGCAUGGUCUGGGGUGGAAAGCGUUUGCGGUGUGGGAUGGGCCCGCGGGCUAGCAGCUUGUUGGUGGGGUGAUGGACUACCAAGGCGACGACGGGUAGGCGGCCUGAGAGGGUGACCGGACACACUGGGAAUGAGAUACGGCCCAGACUCCUACGGGAGGCAGCAGUGGGGAAUAUUGCACAAUGGGCGCAAGCCUGAUGCAGCGACGCCGCGUGAGGGAUGACGGCCUUCGGGUUGUAAACCUCUUUCAGCAUCGACGAAGCGAAAGUGACGGUAGGUGCAGAAGAAGGACCGGCCAACUACGUGCCAGCAGCCGCAGUAA